GAUGAACGCUGGCGGCAUGCUUAACACAUGCAGGUCGGACGGGAAGUGGUGUUUCCAGUGGCGGACGGGGGAGUAACGCGUAAGAAGUUGCUAUUGGGAGGGGAACAACAACUGGACAUGGUUGCUAAUACCUCAUAGGCUGAGGAGCAAAAGGGGGAAUCCGCCCGUAGCGGGGCGUGCGUCUGAUUGGCUUGUUUGUGAGGUAAUAGCUGACCACGGCGAUGAUCAGUAGGUGGUCCGAGAGGAUGAACAGCCACACUGGUACUGAGACACGGCGCAGACUCGUACAGGAGGCAGCGGGGGGGAAUUUUCCGCAAUGAGCGAGAGCCUGACGUGGCAAUGUCGCGGGGAUGAAGAAGUCCCGCGGGUCAAGAACGUCUUUUCUCGGUGUAGAAACAAUGACGGUAGCUGAGGAAGAAGCACCGGCUAACUCCGUG
This 437-nucleotide ribosomal RNA is filed under the name uncultured bacterium. Its description in RNAcentral is "partial 16S ribosomal RNA". It matches the Rfam family "Bacterial small subunit ribosomal RNA", at positions 28 to 507 of the family's 1533-position model. The record is from RNAcentral.